GUGGGGAAUAUUGCGCAAUGGGCGAAAGCCUGACGCAGCAACGCCGCGUGGAGGAUGAAGGUCUUCGGAUUGUAAACUUCUGUCUAGUGAGAAGAAAGACUUGCUAAUAAUACGAGCAAGGGAUGACGGUAUCACUAAAGAAAGCACUGGCUAAUCUCGUGCCAGCAGCCGCGGUAAUACGAGAGGUGCAAGCGUUAUUCGGAAUUAUUGGGCGUAAAGGGUGCGUAGGCGGUAUGAUAAGUCUGUUGUUAAAUGUCCUGGCCUAACCAGGAAAAUGCAAUGGAAACUAUUGUUCUAGAGGGUGAGAGAGAGAAGUGGAAUUCCAGGAGUUAGCGGUCAAAUGCGUAGAUCUCUGGAGGAACACCGAUGGCGAAGGCAGCUUCUUGGCUCAUUUCUGACGCUGAGGCACGAAAGCGUGGGGAGCAAACAGGAUUAGAAACCCCUGUAGUCC
Molecule: ribosomal RNA, 451 nt
Filed under: uncultured bacterium
Lineage: Bacteria
Description: bacterial SSU rRNA
Rfam family: Bacterial small subunit ribosomal RNA
Source: RNAcentral